RNAcentral lists this long non-coding RNA (741 nucleotides) under Ananas comosus (pineapple). RNAcentral describes it as "long non-coding RNA (ACOM_LNC015405)". Lineage: Eukaryota; Viridiplantae; Streptophyta; Magnoliopsida; Poales; Bromeliaceae. The record is from RNAcentral.
CCAGUUCGGUGUUUUCGAAAGAAGAGGGGAGAGGAAUCAAAGAUUUUCCAUUUCUUCGGACCCUUCAAUCUCUUUUGAAAAUAUCGAACCAAAUUCACCGGCCGAACAGAUCCGCGCCACCGACAUCAUCUUCACUGCCGUCAUCUCCAGCAUCGCUAGUUCAGUAUUUUCGAAAGAAGAGGGAAGGAGAAUCAAAGAUUCUCCGUUUCUUCGGACCCUUAAAUCUCUUUUGAAAAUAUCAAACCAAAUUCGCCGACCGAACAGAUCCACACCACCGACAUCAUCUUCACCGCCGUCAUCUCUAGAAUCACCUAUUCAAAGAUUCCCCGUUUCUUCGGACGCCGAACCAAAUCGAACUGCAGAAUCAAAACGAGAAUUUCUUCGGACCCCAAAUCAGAACCAAAACGGGGAUUUCUUCGGACCCCAAAUCAGAACAAAAAUGGGGAUUUCUUCGAACCCCAAAUCAGAACCAAACGGAAAUUUCUUCGGACCCCAAAUCAGAAUCAAAACGAGAACUUCUUCGAACCCCAAAUCAGAAUCAAAACGGGAACUUCUUCGAACCCCAAAUCGAAUCAAAACGGAAAUUUCUUCGGACCCCAAAUCAGAAUCAAAACGGAGAAUUCUUCGGACCCCAAAUUAGAACCAAACGGGGAUUUCUCCGGACCCCAAAUCAGAACCAAAACGGAAAUUUCUUCGGACCCCAAAUCAAAACCAAAACGGGAAUUUCUUUGGACCCCAAAU